UUUUUUUCAAACAUUAGUAUUAGAUUCGGAGAGGCGACAAAUAAUGUUCACAUUUCAAUAACAUUGUAAAAAUACUGUUGUAACAAGUAACAUGUCAAUGACAAAGCCUAGCAUAGCCUCUGGGCCUAAUUCAUGGCAUCACCCGUUGUGCACUUACUCUUGAGCCAAAACAAGAAACAUAUCUCUCGUAGAAUUGUCUACAAGAUAGUUCAAGACACAUCUGGCAAGGUCUUCAAUUAAUUACCAAACCACAAUAAUCAGAUACUUAACAUUUAAAGAAAGAGACUUAACAUGCAGGCACAAACUCAACACAGUCCACAUCAAGUGGCACCAGUGCCAACUUAAAAGAUGAUUAAACUGAAUCAAUAUCACUCAGAGAUUGGUAAAAGUGUUAAAAAAAACUACUCAAAAGACAGAAACCAUCAUCAUCAGCAUCUGCAGACAUGGUAAAUUAAAGCAUCUCUAUAAUAUUCACCGCCCUAGCUUCUCGCUUACCAAUACCAUCGCCAUCAAAACCAGACAUUCUCAUAACAGUGAAGGGUCCAAUGGCCAUCUUAUCUGAAAAGAUAGACACAUUGUCAUCAUAGACUGAUUGGAUUCUCAGCAAUUGAGAGGAAAUGGGAAUGUAGACCAUAGAUAGAUAGAGAUGAGGAGGGAAUGAAAUGAAACAUAUUGAGUAUAUAAUAUAUAUACUAAUACUAUACUAUAUUGAAUAUUGCAACGAAUUAAAAUCAACUCUUAUCAGCCGCUAAA
Molecule: long non-coding RNA, 753 nt
Filed under: Glycine max (soybean)
Lineage: Eukaryota; Viridiplantae; Streptophyta; Magnoliopsida; Fabales; Fabaceae
Description: long non-coding RNA (GMAX_LNC002273)
Source: RNAcentral